This 448-nucleotide long non-coding RNA is filed under the name Pan troglodytes (chimpanzee). RNAcentral's name for it is "long non-coding RNA NONPTRT017627". Lineage: Eukaryota; Metazoa; Chordata; Mammalia; Primates; Hominidae. The record is from RNAcentral.
AAAAAAACCAGAAUUCCCUGAAGACAAAUGUUUGGUGACAAUUUGUUGAGCCAAUGUUUUCCUGGAGAGAACAGCCUGUCUGAGGAGAUCUAACAAUUGCGUCACUCAGACACAGUCCCCCUGGGCUUAGGAAUUGGCAGAGGAGAGAGAAAUGACUUCUGGAGUCCAGACUGCAGGCGGGGACAUGGAGGCCCACGGAGUACCUGGCAGGCCCACAGUCCACAGGUUGGAAAGAGGUGCCCAAGCCCUGGACUUUAAGCCUGGGCUCUGACCUUCAACGUUUGCUUUUCACACCACACAUCAUGUCAAUAAAUAGUUACUGGAUGCCUGUUGUGUGCCAGGCCCCAAGACGGGUGUUGCGUGACUGACAACAGAAAAAGCUUCUCAGUGGCGAGGGAUAAGCUAGAUCAUGGGCCUUAGUGUAAAUCGCCCAGGGUUCAAAUUCCAG